ACUUAAAUUGAAGAGUUUGAUCAUGGCUCAGAUUGAACGCUGGCGGCAGGCCUAACACAUGCAAAGUCGAGCGGUAGCACAGAGAGCUUGCUCUC
Molecule: ribosomal RNA, 95 nt
Filed under: Klebsiella pneumoniae
Lineage: Bacteria; Pseudomonadati; Pseudomonadota; Gammaproteobacteria; Enterobacterales; Enterobacteriaceae
Description: partial 16S ribosomal RNA
Rfam family: Bacterial small subunit ribosomal RNA
Source: RNAcentral